CCAUUUUUUACAGUUGUAACCCCGCACAGAAGGGAGGAUUGGAGUUGGGUAACCAUUGCCAGCGUCACUCCUGUGGCCCAAAUGAGCUUGAAUGGGAUUUGCGCCACAUGGAGAGUGCAAGAUGAAACGGUUGCAGUCAGCGGAAAAAAAAGGACAAAACACGAGAAAAACAGCAUUAUUUCAGAAGCUGUGAGGAGACUCUAUGAGGCACAAAAGGACACCACCAACAGUUUUGAUGCACAAGCAAUGUGGUGUAGUACAUAGCGGUGAAGAGGAUCUAUGGAAAACUGCUACCACAGACUUCAUGUCAGAUGAAGAGGACCCCCAUCAUCACCCCAUCUUCCUAAACCUUUG
Mugil cephalus (flathead mullet) is the source of this 354-nucleotide long non-coding RNA. RefSeq lists it as uncharacterized. The transcript has 3 exons. NCBI's taxonomy places the organism in Eukaryota, Metazoa, Chordata, Actinopteri, Mugiliformes, Mugilidae. The record is from RefSeq and is a predicted model, not a curated record.